RNAcentral lists this ribosomal RNA (422 nucleotides) under uncultured bacterium. Its description in RNAcentral is "bacterial SSU rRNA". It matches the Rfam family "Bacterial small subunit ribosomal RNA", at positions 355 to 776 of the family's 1533-position model. The record is from RNAcentral.
UGGGGAAUAUUGCGCAAUGGCCGAAAGGCUGACGCAGCGACGCCGCGUGUGGGAUGAAGCUCUUCGGGGUGUAAACCACUGUUGCCCGGGACGAACGGCGAGCAUUAGCUCGAUUGACGGUACCGGGUGAGGAAGCACCGGCUAACUCCGUGCCAGCAGCCGCGGUAAUACGGAGGGUGCAAGCGUUGUCCGGAAUCACUGGGCGUAAAGGGCGCGUAGGUGGCUUAGAAAGCGUGUGGUGAAAGCCCGGGGCUUAACCCCGGGUCUGCCGUGCGAACUACUAUGGCUAGAGUACUGUAGAGGCAGGUUGAAUUCCGGGUGUAGCGGUGGAAUGCGUAGAGAUCCGGAAGAAUACCGGUGGCGAAGGCGGCCUGCUGGGCAGUUACUGACACUGAGGCGCGACAGCGUGGGGAGCAAACAGG